GUGGAACCAAUAAUGUCUUCAGGCUCUUAUUCUCUUCAUUUCUUAAUGUUUUUCAUCUAUCAGUUAUGAUAGGGUUAGUGUUUCCCUGAAGCUUCUACUUUCCUCCUGGUUACAACAUAGAGAAACUUUAUCAAAGAGAAGACAAAGCUACCCUUAGGACCUGAUUGGCCUAUGUAAUUUUCUUAACCUUCCCUGACACAGAUUUCUGGUCAUCUAAGGGUGUAAAAAGUCCCAGUCAUGUGGAAUCUAGACCCUUUGAACUUAAUGAACAUCUGAAGCCUGGGUACAGGUGACAGAGUCCCUGGUUCUGCAAUCAUGAAACAAGAAGACCUGGGAGUAAACAUUACAGAAAAGUAUGGUGGACCUCAGGCCAUUUGUUUAUGAGGAAAGAAACUAAACAGGAAAAAAAAAGACUGAUUAAGUCAAGUUUAAAAAAAACCCACCACUUUUUCAGGGUUGGAAUAUUCUUCCUCUCCAUCUCCACCUUCUAGCUGCCUUGGAUCCCUUCAAACAGUGGCUAGAGUUCUGGCUUCUGCAAGUAAACUUUCCUAGUCCUUUAGAACCUUAGAACCUUCCCUUUGUUGAUAAACAUCAUUUAUCCAUGUGUG
Molecule: long non-coding RNA, 608 nt
Filed under: Monodelphis domestica (gray short-tailed opossum)
Lineage: Eukaryota; Metazoa; Chordata; Mammalia; Didelphimorphia; Didelphidae
Description: lncRNA (ENSMODG00000031795.2)
Source: RNAcentral